UUUAAUUUUUGACUCUUCGUCUUAUUCAAAAUUUUUUUGCAAUUGAUAUUUUUAUUUUUAUUAGAUGAUAAAUCAUGAAUAGUAUUUUACGUGUGACUAAUUUUUUUUCUAAUUUUUUAAAUUUAUUUAAAUGAAACGAAUGAUCAACACACGUUGGACACGAAAAUCGGAG
Molecule: microRNA precursor, 172 nt
Filed under: Oryza brachyantha (malo sina)
Lineage: Eukaryota; Viridiplantae; Streptophyta; Magnoliopsida; Poales; Poaceae
Description: MIR812 microRNA precursor family
Rfam family: MIR812 microRNA precursor family
Source: Rfam by way of RNAcentral